CAGGAUUCCUGAUCAGAGGUGUCUUCACUAAACUAGACAAGCCUGCUUCAUCCUCAACAUCUAAUGGCUUUAGCGGAACAACACAAUUCAACAAAAAGCCGUCAGAGAGCUACAAGAAAAUAGCCCCCCACACCGUGAGGCCCACCUCAGAGAACCAGGACGGCACAGUUAGCCAUGAGGAGAAGGAGAGACGG
Molecule: long non-coding RNA, 194 nt
Organism: Scomber japonicus (chub mackerel)
Lineage: Eukaryota; Metazoa; Chordata; Actinopteri; Scombriformes; Scombridae
Exons: 4
Source: RefSeq, a predicted model, not a curated record